GUGCCAGCAGCCGCGGUAAGACGAACCGUGCGAACGUUAUUCGGAUUCACUGGGCUUAAAGGGCGCGUAGGCGGACGAGCAAGUCCGGGGUGAAAUCUUUCGGCUCAACCGGAAAAGUGCCUUGGAUACUGCUCGCCUUGAGUGAGGUAGGGGCAUGUGGAACUUCCGGUGGAGCGGUGAAAUGCGUUGAUAUCGGAAGGAACGCCGGUGGCGAAAGCGACGUGCUGGCCCUCAACUGACGCUGAGGCGCGAAAGCCAGGGGAGCAAACGGGAUUAGAAACCCUCGUAGUCC
RNAcentral lists this ribosomal RNA (292 nucleotides) under uncultured bacterium. RNAcentral's name for it is "partial 16S ribosomal RNA". It matches the Rfam family "Bacterial small subunit ribosomal RNA", at positions 505 to 796 of the family's 1533-position model. The record is from RNAcentral.